This 540-nucleotide ribosomal RNA is filed under the name Microbacterium sp. MP4. Its description in RNAcentral is "bacterial SSU rRNA". It matches the Rfam family "Bacterial small subunit ribosomal RNA", at positions 969 to 1507 of the family's 1533-position model. The record is from RNAcentral. Lineage: Bacteria; Bacillati; Actinomycetota; Actinomycetes; Micrococcales; Microbacteriaceae.
CCUUACCAAGGCUUGACAUACACCAGAACGCCCUAGAAAUAGGGAACUCUUUGGACACUGGUGAACAGGUGGUGCAUGGUUGUCGUCAGCUCGUGUCGUGAGAUGUUGGGUUAAGUCCCGCAACGAGCGCAACCCUCGUUCUAUGUUGCCAGCACGUAAUGGUGGGAACUCAUGGGAUACUGCCGGGGUCAACUCGGAGGAAGGUGGGGAUGACGUCAAAUCAUCAUGCCCCUUAUGUCUUGGGCUUCACGCAUGCUACAAUGGCCGGUACAAAGGGCUGCAAUACCGUGAGGUGGAGCGAAUCCCAAAAAGCCGGUCCCAGUUCGGAUUGAGGUCUGCAACUCGACCUCAUGAAGUCGGAGUCGCUAGUAAUCGCAGAUCAGCAACGCUGCGGUGAAUACGUUCCCGGGUCUUGUACACACCGCCCGUCAAGUCAUGAAAGUCGGUAACACCUGAAGCCGGUGGCCCAACCCUUGUGGAGGGAGCUGUCGAAGGUGGGAUCGGUAAUUAGGACUAAGUCGUAACAAGAGCAUCCAGGGG